RNAcentral lists this ribosomal RNA (253 nucleotides) under uncultured bacterium. RNAcentral's name for it is "partial 16S ribosomal RNA". It matches the Rfam family "Bacterial small subunit ribosomal RNA", at positions 524 to 776 of the family's 1533-position model. The record is from RNAcentral.
UACGUAGGUGGCAAGCGUUGUCCGGAUUUACUGGGCGUAAAGAGCGCGCAGGCGGUCGUUCAAGUCGCGUGUGAAAGCCCCCGGCUCAACUGGGGAGGGUCACGCGAUACUGAUCGACUCGAAGGCAGGAGAGGGAAGUGGAAUUCCCGGUGUAGUGGUGAAAUGCGUAGAUAUCGGGAGGAACAUCAGUGGCGAAAGCGACUUCCUGGACCAAUACUGACACUCAAGUGCGAAAGCGUGGGGAGCAAACAGG